GAGACCCUGUCUCUACAAAAACAUUAAAAUUAUAAUUUAAAGUAAUGGUCCACAGUGAUGGUAUGGCUGUCUCUAAGAUCACAAAAGUAGUUCUUAGGAGAACUUGACUUGCUACUCCUGUUAUCUGAUGCUUGUUGAGGACUGAGUGUGGAUUGAUCCUGCAGAGGCCAAGGGAAGACUUUAUCUUCACCUUCUGAAAUUUCACUGAGAAGUCAAAUAACAGAAGAUUCACAGAAGAAAAGGGAUGCAUAUUUAUUAAUAUGCACAAGGGGAGGACCACAGAGAUUACUUCUACUCCCCAGUAGGGUUCAGAAGCUUAUAUACAAUCUUGAGAUUGUGGAAAGAAUGGGGUUUGGAUCAUGGCAAAAUAGGUUAUCGUGGUAAAACAUGGGAGGGGAGCAGGGAAGAGGAGGCCUAGAUAGCAAAAGGUGGUCUUGUUUUGUGGAUGAGAUAAAAUAGAUGGUGACUGUUUCUUACAGAUCUUUAAAGGUUGUCAGAUACUCAGUUCAUCUUUUCCAAAUCUGGACAAAAGAAAGUCUUAGAGAAAUCCGGGCUCCAUCAAUGCAGAUUUUCUCUACAGAUGCUCAUCUGCCCGCAAAGACGGUUUUCAGGGCUACUUCUGUGUGCAGCCCUCUGAAUGGCCAUCUCAAAAUAUGGCAGAGUAUAUUUUGGGGUAAAUUAUUUUGAUUUCUUUCAGUUCCUCCUUUGAAACUUCAAAAAGUUGCAUAUGCCAAAAGGCAAAUUGGUAGCUUUGGAGAGAUUUGGGUUAGAGGUUCUUAGAUAAGACAGGAAAAGGAAGGGAAGACAAAUUGGGAUAAGCAAAAAAUAAAAAAUAAAUAAAUAUGCCAUUCAUAUUAUCAUGAAUCCGUUUUGUGUUCCAGAGAAUAGAUCAGUUGAACAGCUGUUUUCCAUUCUAGGAGGUGCCCUGCUAAUGAGCUAGAACUCUAUAUAGGAUGCAACAAGUCCAUCUCUAAUAAGAAGCAUUUUUAUGGAAACUAAGAAAAGCAAAGGUUAAUAUCUGGAGUAGUCUGCAGGUUUGUUGUUCUAGAGUCUCUAAUGCAUCUUCAGAUGGCAGUGGCGAUCUUUGUGGAUUGUGGUUUAAAUUGGGUGUUCAAGUGAACUGUCUGAGUAGCUCAUACAUCAGCUGGCACAAAAGCUGUUGAUAUGUAAGUUGCUAUGGUGAUUUCUCCCAACAUUUAUAUCAGGUUAUCUAGCUUCAAUGUGCAGAGCUUCAGGAAAAGCACAGUUUUAGUUUUAAGUGAUUCCAAGGAGGAAAAAAGGGAGAACAUUUUGAAAACAUUAGUUUGGGCACUUGUAGCCAGGAAAUAAUUCAGGAUCCAGUUCAAAUUUCAGACAAAUAAAAAAACUCAAAAACAAUGGUCAAGGCUAGAAUCUAAUAGCAUGGGUACUAUAGUUUUCUUUGAAAACAUAAUUUCUCUCUUCAGUUUCCCUUUUGUACCAAAGACAAAUCAUGUGUAGUAAGACCAUUUGUUUGCAAAAUAAAUUUUAGUUUUAUAAUACUUGACAUUAUUUGCAUAGAGUGCAGAAAGAAAAGUGACCAUAUAGGCCCUUUGCUGUUGGCUUUGCUGUGGCUUGUUCAUGAUGAAUCUCAGGUUAGACUUUUCAAAGCCUCUAGAGACUAUAAAGCCAAGCCAAAGAUUUGGCAUCAGACUGUGCCUGUAACAUUUAGAUGAUUUGAGUGAAUUUCUGUUUUCUAGAGGUUUCAAAAUAUCUGGAGGUUUCUGGGCCUCUCAGAAAGUGACAUUCUUUCUUACUGCAAGGUCAGGAACCUUGUAUGGAAACAGUGUGGACAAAGUACCAGGUCAGUCUUUCCGAAGGGCUUUUCAUUGGCUCUGUAAAGUCAACUUCAGUUCCUUAAAGCAGUCUGGUCAUAUCUGAUAACAAGUCAUUCCAGUCAAAGCCUUGAUAAAAUAGUAUCUACAAGUGUGUCCUCCUAUGGAAAAAAAUGAUUCUUACUGAACCUAUAUAGGUAACUAUAUUACCAUAAAAUAAGAAUAUUCAUGAAUAGUUUCAAAUUUUUGGAGAAAUCAUGUAGAUAGAAAGGUAAAUAUUUCAGUUUUGCUCACAAGAGUAUAUAUUACCCAAUUGUUGUAAGCUAUAAAGAAUAAAAUAUUUCUUGACUCUGGAAAACAAAAUAUAAAAAGGAAUCAUCAAUAUUUCAAAUGAAAAUCAUUUUUAAAAAGUGUUUUAGUCCUGUAUCAGUUCCACCCCAUGUAAUUAACUUAUUCUGCUUGCUGUUGGGUUACCAAUAUUUAUGAUUAUAUCAACUUUUAAAAUAGAGCCCUGGGAGGUUUUACACAGGCUAAUGAUAAGUUCUCCAAAGUUAUCAAAAAACUGUAUUCAAGAGUACUUUCAGGGUCCACGCUAUAAAAUUUUUGAAGAAGCAUAUUUUGGACUGUAGCUGAUUAUAAAUGGAUUAUUGAGAAAAAUCAAAGUAAAGCAAUAAUUACCUGUGAAUGGCAAAAGACUUAGAAUAGCCAUGGGUAAAGAUGUAAUUGACAAGGAAAUUUGGUUUUUUGUGU
Sapajus apella (tufted capuchin) is the source of this 2543-nucleotide long non-coding RNA. RefSeq lists it as uncharacterized. The transcript has 3 exons. Lineage: Eukaryota; Metazoa; Chordata; Mammalia; Primates; Cebidae. The record is from RefSeq and is a predicted model, not a curated record.